CAGUAGCCGCGGGAAAACGAAGGGGGCUAGCGUUGUUCGGAUUUACUGGGCGUAAAGGGCGCGUAGGCGGACUGAUAAGUCAGGGGUGAAAUCCCAAGGCUCAACCUUGGAACUGCCUUUGAUACUGUUUGUCUUGAGUUCGAGAGAGGUGAGUGGAACUGCGAGUGUAGAGGUGAAAUUCGUAGAUAUAUGGAGGAACACCGGUGGCGAAAGCGGCUCUCUGGCUUGUAACUGACGCUGAGGCUCGAAAGCGUGGGGAGCAAACAGGAUUAGAUACCCCAGUAGUCCCUGUCUCUUAUAC
This 301-nucleotide ribosomal RNA is filed under the name uncultured bacterium. Its description in RNAcentral is "partial 16S ribosomal RNA". It matches the Rfam family "Bacterial small subunit ribosomal RNA", at positions 509 to 807 of the family's 1533-position model. The record is from RNAcentral.